RNAcentral lists this ribosomal RNA (2932 nucleotides) under Streptomyces sp. WAC01280. RNAcentral's name for it is "23S ribosomal RNA". It matches the Rfam family "Bacterial large subunit ribosomal RNA". The record is from RNAcentral. Lineage: Bacteria; Bacillati; Actinomycetota; Actinomycetes; Kitasatosporales; Streptomycetaceae.
AGAUUAAGUUAUUAAGGGCGCACGGUGGAUGCCUUGGCACUAGAAGCCGAUGAAGGACGUUACUAACGACGAUAUGCUUUGGGUAGCUGUAAGUAAGCGUUGAUCCAGAGAUUUCCGAAUGGGGGAACCCAGCAUGAGUUAUGUCAUGUUAUCGACAUGUGAAUUCAUAGCAUGUCAGAAGGCAGACCCGGAGAACUGAAACAUCUUAGUACCCGGAGGAAGAGAAAGAAAAAUCGAUUCCCUGAGUAGCGGCGAGCGAAACGGGAAGAGCCCAAACCAACAAGCUUGCUUGUUGGGGUUGUAGGACACUCUAUACGGAGUUACAAAAGAACAUGUUAGACGAAUCAUCUGGAAAGAUGAAUCAAAGAAGGUAAUAAUCCUGUAGUCGAAAACAUAUUCUCUCUUGAGUGGAUCCUGAGUACGACGGAGCACGUGAAAUUCCGUCGGAAUCUGGGAGGACCAUCUCCUAAGGCUAAAUACUCUCUAGUGACCGAUAGUGAACCAGUACCGUGAGGGAAAGGUGAAAAGUACCCCGGAAGGGGAGUGAAAGAGAACUUGAAACCGUGUGCUUACAAGUAGUCAGAGCCCGUUAAUGGGUGAUGGCGUGCCUUUUGUAGAAUGAACCGGCGAGUUACGAUUUGAUGCAAGGUUAAGCAGCAAAUGUGGAGCCGCAGCGAAAGCGAGUCUGAAUAGGGCGUUGAGUAUUUGGUCGUAGACCCGAAACCAGGUGAUCUACCCUUGGUCAGGUUGAAGUUCAGGUAACACUGAAUGGAGGACCGAACCGACUUACGUUGAAAAGUGAGCGGAUGAACUGAGGGUAGCGGAGAAAUUCCAAUCGAACUUGGAGAUAGCUGGUUCUCUCCGAAAUAGCUUUAGGGCUAGCCUCAAGUGAUGAUUAUUGGAGGUAGAGCACUGUUUGGACGAGGGGCCCCUCUCGGGUUACCGAAUUCAGACAAACUCCGAAUGCCAAUUAAUUUAACUUGGGAGUCAGAACAUGGGUGAUAAGGUCCGUGUUCGAAAGGGAAACAGCCCAGACCACCAGCUAAGGUCCCAAAAUAUAUGUUAAGUGGAAAAGGAUGUGGCGUUGCCCAGACAACUAGGAUGUUGGCUUAGAAGCAGCCAUCAUUUAAAGAGUGCGUAAUAGCUCACUAGUCGAGUGACACUGCGCCGAAAAUGUACCGGGGCUAAACAUAUUACCGAAGCUGUGGAUUGUCCUUUGGACAAUGGUAGGAGAGCGUUCUAAGGGCGUCGAAGCAUGAUCGCAAGGACAUGUGGAGCGCUUAGAAGUGAGAAUGCCGGUGUGAGUAGCGAAAGACGGGUGAGAAUCCCGUCCACCGAUUGACUAAGGUUUCCAGAGGAAGGCUCGUCCGCUCUGGGUUAGUCGGGUCCUAAGCUGAGGCCGACAGGCGUAGGCGAUGGAUAACAGGUUGAUAUUCCUGUACCACCUAGUAUCGUUUUAAUCGAUGGGGGGACGCAGUAGGAUAGGCGAAGCGUGCUGUUGGAGUGCACGUCCAAGCAGUAAGGCUGAGUGUUAGGCAAAUCCGGCACUCAUAAGGCUGAGCUGUGAUGGGGAGAGGAAAUUGUUUCCUCGAGUCGUUGAUUUCACACUGCCGAGAAAAGCCUCUAGAUAGAUAACAGGUGCCCGUACCGCAAACCGACACAGGUAGUCAAGAUGAGAAUUCUAAGGUGAGCGAGCGAACUCUCGUUAAGGAACUCGGCAAAAUGACCCCGUAACUUCGGGAGAAGGGGUGCUCUUUAGGGUUCACGCCCAGAAGAGCCGCAGUGAAUAGGCCCAAGCGACUGUUUAUCAAAAACACAGGUCUCUGCUAAACCGUAAGGUGAUGUAUAGGGGCUGACGCCUGCCCGGUGCUGGAAGGUUAAGAGGAGUGGUUAGCUUCUGCGAAGCUACGAAUCGAAGCCCCAGUAAACGGCGGCCGUAACUAUAACGGUCCUAAGGUAGCGAAAUUCCUUGUCGGGUAAGUUCCGACCCGCACGAAAGGCGUAACGAUUUGGGCACUGUCUCAACGAGAGACUCGGUGAAAUCAUAGUACCUGUGAAGAUGCAGGUUACCCGCGACAGGACGGAAAGACCCCGUGGAGCUUUACUGUAGCCUGAUAUUGAAAUUCGGCACAGCUUGUACAGGAUAGGUAGGAGCCUUUGAAACGUGAGCGCUAGCUUACGUGGAGGCGUUGGUGGGAUACUACCCUAGCUGUGUUGGCUUUCUAACCCGCACCACUUAUCGUGGUGGGAGACAGUGUCAGGCGGGCAGUUUGACUGGGGCGGUCGCCUCCUAAAAGGUAACGGAGGCGCUCAAAGGUUCCCUCAGAAUGGUUGGAAAUCAUUCAUAGAGUGUAAAGGCAUAAGGGAGCUUGACUGCGAGACCUACAAGUCGAGCAGGGUCGAAAGACGGACUUAGUGAUCCGGUGGUUCCGCAUGGAAGGGCCAUCGCUCAACGGAUAAAAGCUACCCCGGGGAUAACAGGCUUAUCUCCCCCAAGAGUUCACAUCGACGGGGAGGUUUGGCACCUCGAUGUCGGCUCAUCGCAUCCUGGGGCUGUAGUCGGUCCCAAGGGUUGGGCUGUUCGCCCAUUAAAGCGGUACGCGAGCUGGGUUCAGAACGUCGUGAGACAGUUCGGUCCCUAUCCGUCGUGGGCGUAGGAAAUUUGAGAGGAGCUGUCCUUAGUACGAGAGGACCGGGAUGGACAUACCUCUGGUGUACCAGUUGUCGUGCCAACGGCAUAGCUGGGUAGCUAUGUAUGGACGGGAUAAGUGCUGAAAGCAUCUAAGCAUGAAGCCCCCCUCAAGAUGAGAUUUCCCAACUUCGGUUAUAAGAUCCCUCGAAGAUGACGAGGUUAAUAGGUUCGAGGUGGAAGCGUGGUGACACGUGGAGCUGACGAAUACUAAUCGAUCGAAGACUUAAUCAAUUUUUUAAA